This 211-nucleotide long non-coding RNA is filed under the name Carica papaya (papaya). RNAcentral's name for it is "long non-coding RNA (CPAP_LNC006480)". The record is from RNAcentral. Lineage: Eukaryota; Viridiplantae; Streptophyta; Magnoliopsida; Brassicales; Caricaceae.
UAUUAUCUACUAUUUAGGCCUAAGGGGCCCUCACAUCUAUAUCACAAACAUACGAGUGCACAUUUUUAAGAUAGGUACAUGAAUUAAGAACACAUUAAACUAAUAUAAACAUGUUGUACACACAAUGGAGUGAUCGGAUAACAUAGACUGAGGAAUCUAUCCAUAUUAGUCAUAGAUUUAAAGUGAAUAAAUUAUAGUAUGUAGGAUAGUG